This 497-nucleotide ribosomal RNA is filed under the name uncultured Zoogloea sp. RNAcentral describes it as "bacterial SSU rRNA". It matches the Rfam family "Bacterial small subunit ribosomal RNA", at positions 38 to 529 of the family's 1533-position model. The record is from RNAcentral. Lineage: Bacteria; Pseudomonadati; Pseudomonadota; Betaproteobacteria; Rhodocyclales; Zoogloeaceae.
GGCGGCUGCUUUACACAUGCAAGUCGAACGGCAGCGCGGGGGCAGCCCUGGUGGCGAGUGGCGAACGGGUGAGUAAUGCAUCGGAACGUAUCCUGUAGGGGGGGAUAACGUAACGAAAGUUACGCUAAUACCGCAUACGCUCGAGAGAGGAAAGUGGGGGAUCGCAACACCUCGCGUUGUAGGAGCGGCCUAUGUCCGAUUACCUUGUUGGUGGGGUAAGGGCCUACCACCGCCACGAUCAGUACCGGGUCUGAGAGGAAGAUCACCCACACUGGGACUGAAACACGGCCCAGACUCCUACGGGAGGCAGCGGUGGGGAAUUUUGGACUAUGGGCGAAAGCCUGAUCCAGCCGUGCCGCGUGCGGGAAGAAGGCCUUCGGGUUGUAAACCUCUUUCCUCCGGGAAAAAGGGGUGCGAGGAUAAUACCCUUGUGCUUUGAUGGUACUGGAAGAAUAAACACCGACAAACUACUUGCCAUCCCCCNCGGUAAUAUAAUA